This 486-nucleotide ribosomal RNA is filed under the name uncultured bacterium. RNAcentral describes it as "partial 16S ribosomal RNA". It matches the Rfam family "Bacterial small subunit ribosomal RNA", at positions 29 to 507 of the family's 1533-position model. The record is from RNAcentral.
AUUGAACGCUGGCGGCAUGCCUUACACAUGCCAGUCGAACGGCAGCACGGGUGCUUGCCCCUGGUGGCGAGUGGCGAACGGGUGAGUAAUACAUCGGAACAUGUCCUGUAGUGGGGGAUAGCCCGGCGAAAGCCGGAUUGAUACCGCAUACGAUCUACGGAUGAAAGCGGGGGACAUUCGGGCCUCGCGCUAUAGGGUUAGCCGAUGGCUGAUUAGCGAGUUGGUGGGGUAAAGGCCUACCAAGGCGACGAUCAGUAGCCGGUCUGAGAGGACGACCAGCCACACUGGAACUGAGACACGGCCCAGACUCCUACGGGAGGCAGCAGUGGGGAAUUUUGGACAAUGGGCGAAAGCCUGAUCCAGCAAUGCCGCGUGUGUGAAGAAGGCCUUCGGGUUGUAAAGCACUUUUGUCCGGAAAGAAAACCUUGGCCCUAAUACGGGCGGGGGAUGACGGUACCGGAAGAAUAAGCACCGGCUAACUACGUG